This is a non-coding RNA of Paramuricea clavata, 382 nucleotides long. The record is from the annotation of a GenBank genome assembly. Lineage: Eukaryota; Metazoa; Cnidaria; Anthozoa; Malacalcyonacea; Plexauridae.
UACAAUCUUACAAACACAACCUUUCUUGAUAAAACUCUAAACCCACUCUCUUACAAUCUCAAGCGUCAAUAUUUUCCUUUGUCCGGAAGUUUAUUGUCUAUUGUUUGAGCGUAGACAACGCAUUAUAGUCUAACUAAGAUAUCAAUUUACAACCAUUUAAAAAGUAAUAUAAACCAUAACAUAAAGUAUUUAAUAUUUACAAGGAUUUAUCCGACACACUCCCCCCUUUGAGCCUUUAGGGUCAAACAAAACCUGCGUUCCUCAACGUGCAACCUGGGCCGCAGCCCUUCUGGGUCUCCUACUACUGCCUUCAAUACUCACCUUGUCAUUCUUAGUUAUUUCUUCUUUCCCCUUGUCUACACUCUCACACUUCUCACUGAUC